CCGACACAGGUGGAUGAGGAGAGAAUCCUAAGGCCGACGGAAGAAGCAUUGUUAAGGAACUCGGCAAAAUGACCCCGUAACUUCGGGAGAAGGGGUGCCUACGAAUGUAGGCCGCAGAGAAUUGGCCCAAGCAACUGUUUAGCAAAAACACAGGUUUAUGCGAAACCGAAAGGUGAAGUAUAUGAGCUGACGCCUGCCCGGUGCUGGAAGGUUAAGGGGAGAGCUUAGAGGCAACUCGAAGGUUCGAACUUAAGCCCCAGUAAACGGCGGCCGUAACUAUAACGGUCCUAAGGUAGCGAAAUUCCUUGUCGGGUAAGUUCCGACCCGCACGAAAGGCGUAAUGAUUUGGGCACUGUCUCGACAAUGCAUCCGGUGAAAUUGAAAUACCAGUGAAGAUGCUGGUUACCCGCGCCAGGACGGAAAGACCCCAUGGAGCUUUACUCCAGUUUGAUGCUGGGAUUCGGUACUGCAUGUACAGGAUAGGCGGGAGACUAGGAAGAUAUAACGCCAGUUGUAUCAGAGUCGCUGUUGGGAUACCACCCUUGUAGUACUGGGUUUCUAACCUGCCACCGUGAACCGGUGGAGGGACAACGUCAGGCGGGGAGUUUGACUGGGGCGGUCGCCUCCGAAAGGGUAUCGGAGGCGCUCAAAGGUUCCCUCAGAAUGGUUGGAAACCAUUCGAAGAGUGCAAAGGCAGAAGGGAGCUUGACUGCGAGGUCGACGGACCGAGCAGGUACGAAAGUAGGACUUAGUGAUCCGGUGGUAGAAAGUGGGAUUGCCAUCGCUCAACGGAUAAAAGCUACCCUGGGGAUAACAGGCUUAUCACUCCCAAGAGUUCACAUCGACGGAGUGGUUUGGCACCUCGAUGUCGGCUCAUCGCAUCCUGGGGCUGUAGCAGGUCCCAAGGGUUGGGCUGUUCGCCCAUUAAAGCGGUACGCGAGCUGGGUUCAGAACGUCGUGAGACAGUUCGGUCCCUAUCCGGCGCGGGCGUAGGAUAUCUGAGAGGAGCUGGCCUUAGUACGAGAGGACCGGGCUGGACGGACCGCUGGUGUAUCUGUUGUCAUACCAAUGGCAUAGCAGGGUAGCCAAGUCUGGAAGGGAUAAACGCUGAAGGCAUCUAAGCGUGAAGCCCCCCUUAAGAUAAGAUAUCCCUGGAGUUAAUCCAGUAAGACCCCUUGAAGACGACGAGGUAGAUAGGGCAGAGGUGGAAGUGUGGUAACACAUGGAGCUGACUGUCACUAAUAGGUCGAGGGCUUGACCAA
Molecule: ribosomal RNA, 1262 nt
Filed under: Ruminococcus sp. A254.MGS-254
Lineage: Bacteria; Bacillati; Bacillota; Clostridia; Eubacteriales; Oscillospiraceae
Description: bacterial LSU rRNA
Rfam family: Bacterial large subunit ribosomal RNA
Source: RNAcentral